UAAAAACCCCGACUUCGGAAGGGGUGUAUUUAUUAGAUACAAAACCAAUGCCCUUCGGGGCUCUUUGGUGAUUCAUGAUAACUAUACGAAUCGCACGGCCUUGCGCCGGCGAUGGUUCAUUCAAAUUUCUUCCCUAUCAACUUUCGAUGUUUGGGUAUUGGCCAAACAUGGUUGCAACGGGUAACGGAGGGUUAGGGCUCGACCCCGGAGAAGGAGCCUGAGAAACGGCUACUACAUCCAAGGAAGGCGGCAGGCGCGCAAAUUACCCAAUCCCGACUCGGGGAGGUAGUGACAAUAAAUACUGAUACAGGGCCCUUUCAGGCCUUGUAAUUGGAAUGAGUACAAUUUAAAUCCCUUAACGAGGAACAAUUGGAGGGCAAGUCUGGUGCCAGCAGCCGCGGUAAUUCCAGCUCCAAUAGCGUAUAUUAAAGUUGUUGUGGUUAAAAAGCUCGUAGUUGAACCUUGGGCCUGGCUGGCCGGUCCGCCUCACCGCGUGCACUGGUCCGGCCGGGCCUUUCCCUCUGUGGAACCCCAUACCCUUCACUGGGCGUGGCGGGGAAACAGGACAUUUAAUUU
This 576-nucleotide ribosomal RNA is filed under the name uncultured eukaryote. Its description in RNAcentral is "SSU rRNA". It matches the Rfam family "Eukaryotic small subunit ribosomal RNA", at positions 174 to 758 of the family's 1831-position model. The record is from RNAcentral.